GGCGGUUGUAGCCAAGUGGUUAAGGCAAUGGGUUGUGGUUCCGUCAUUCGCGGGUUCGAUUCCCGUCUUCCGCCU
The sequence is a transfer RNA, 75 nucleotides long. It matches the Rfam family "tRNA". Rfam says of the family: Transfer RNA (tRNA) molecules are approximately 80 nucleotides in length. Their secondary structure includes four short double-helical elements and three loops (D, anti-codon, and T loops). Further hydrogen bonds mediate the characteristic L-shaped molecular structure. tRNAs have two regions of fundamental functional importance: the anti-codon, which is responsible for specific mRNA codon recognition, and the 3' end, to which the tRNAs corresponding amino acid is attached (by aminoacyl-tRNA synthetases). tRNAs cope with the degeneracy of the genetic code in two manners: having more than one tRNA (with a specific anti-codon) for a particular amino acid; and 'wobble' base-pairing, i.e. permitting non-standard base-pairing at the 3rd anti-codon position.